RNAcentral lists this ribosomal RNA (483 nucleotides) under uncultured bacterium. Its description in RNAcentral is "bacterial SSU rRNA". It matches the Rfam family "Bacterial small subunit ribosomal RNA", at positions 31 to 509 of the family's 1533-position model. The record is from RNAcentral.
GAACGCUAGCGGCAGGCUUAACACAUGCAAGUCGAGGGGCAGCGCGUCGUAGCAAUACGAUGGCGGCGACCGGCGCAAGGGUGCGUAACGCGUGAGCAAUCUGCCCGUGUCAGGGGGAUAAGCGAUGGAAACGUCGUCUAAUACCGCAUAACAACCUGGGAGGCAUCUCCCGGGCUUGAAAGAUACGUCGGACACGGAUGAGCUCGCGAGACAUUAGUUAGUUGGCGGGGUAACGGCCCACCAAGACCGCGAUGUCUAGGGGAACUGAGAGGUUGGUCCCCCACACUGGAACUGAGACACGGUCCAGACUCCUACGGGAGGCAGCAGUGAGGAAUAUUGGACAAUGGCCGGAAGGCUGAUCCAGCCAUGCCGCGUGAAGGAUAAGGUCCUAUGGAUUGUAAACUUCUUUUGAGUGGGAGCAAUAAGGGUGUCGUGACACCCGAUGAGAGUACCAUUCGAAUAAGCAUCGGCUAACUCCGUGCC